This 606-nucleotide ribosomal RNA is filed under the name uncultured archaeon. RNAcentral's name for it is "bacterial SSU rRNA". It matches the Rfam family "Archaeal small subunit ribosomal RNA", at positions 315 to 921 of the family's 1478-position model. The record is from RNAcentral.
UCCAGGCCCUACGGGGUGCAGCAGGCGCGAAACCUCCGCAAUGUGAGAAAUCGCGACGGGGGGAUCCCAAGUGCCAUUCUUAACGGGAUGGCUUUUCAUUAGUGUAAAGAGCUUUUGGAAUAAGAGCUGGGCAAGACCGGUGCCAGCCGCCGCGGUAACACCGGCAGCUCUAGUGGUAGCAGUUUUUAUUGGGCCUAAAGCGUCCGUAGCCGGUUUAAUAAGUCUCUGGUGAAAUCCUGCAGCUUAACUGUGGGAAUUGCUGGAGAUACUAUUAGACUUGAGAUCGGGAGAGGUUAGAGGUACUCCCAGGGUAGAGGUGAAAUUCUGUAAUCCUGGGAGGACCGCCUGUUGCGAAGGCGUCUGACUGGAACGAUUCUGACGGUGAGGGACGAAAGCUAGGGGCGCGAACCGGAUUAGAUACCCGGGUAGUCCUAGCUGUAAACGAUGCGGACUUGGUGUUGGGGUGGCUUUGAGCUGUCCCAGUGCCGAAGGGAAGCUGUUAAGUCCGCCGCCUGGGAAGUACGGUCGCAAGACUGGAACUUAAAGGAAUUGGCGGGGGAGCACCACAACGCGUGGAGCCUGCGGUUUAAUUGGAGUCAACGCCGG